AGGACGAACGCUGGCGGCGUGCUUAACACAUGCAAGUCGAGCGAGGCCCACCUUUCGGGGUGGUGUUCUAGCGGCGAACGGGUGAGUAACACGUGGGCAACCUGCCCUCAGCUCUGGGAUAACUCCAAGAAAUUGGGGCUAAUACCGGAUAUGACCGCUGACCGCAUGGUCUGGUGGUGGAAAGAUUUAUCGGCUGGGGAUGGGCCCGCGGCCUAUCAGCUUGUUGGUGGGGUAGNGGCCUACCAAGGCGACGACGGGUAGCCGGCCUGAGAGGGUGACCGGCCACACUGGGACUGAGACACGGCCCAGACUCCUACGGGAGGCAGCAGUGGGGAAUAUUGCGCAAUGGGCGGAAGCCUGACGCAGCGACGCCGCGUGGGGAUGACGGCCUGGUGU
This 396-nucleotide ribosomal RNA is filed under the name uncultured bacterium. Its description in RNAcentral is "bacterial SSU rRNA". It matches the Rfam family "Bacterial small subunit ribosomal RNA", at positions 26 to 422 of the family's 1533-position model. The record is from RNAcentral.